UACGUAGGGGGCGAGCGUUGUCCGGAAUUACUGGGCGUAAAGGGUGCGUAGGCGGAUUUGCAAGUCAGAUGUGAAAGCCUGGGGCUUAACCCCAGGAUUGCAUUUGAAACUGCGAAUCUUGAGUGCAGGAGAGGCAAGUGGAAUUCCUAGUGUAGCGGUGAAAUGCGUAGAUAUUAGGAGGAACACCAGUGGCGAAGGCGACUUGCUGGACUGUAACUGACGCUGAGGCA
This 230-nucleotide ribosomal RNA is filed under the name uncultured microorganism. RNAcentral's name for it is "partial 16S ribosomal RNA". It matches the Rfam family "Bacterial small subunit ribosomal RNA", at positions 524 to 753 of the family's 1533-position model. The record is from RNAcentral.